GCCUCGAUGGUGAGUGGUCAUCAAACCUGUUUUAGUAACAGGAUGACGUGGGUUCGAUUCCCACUCGGGACA
Molecule: non-coding RNA, 72 nt
Organism: Desmophyllum pertusum
Lineage: Eukaryota; Metazoa; Cnidaria; Anthozoa; Scleractinia; Caryophylliidae
Source: the annotation of a GenBank genome assembly